RNAcentral lists this long non-coding RNA (277 nucleotides) under Mytilus galloprovincialis (Mediterranean mussel). Lineage: Eukaryota; Metazoa; Mollusca; Bivalvia; Mytilida; Mytilidae. The record is from RNAcentral.
CCGCCUUUCACAUAUUUUGUUUGUUUGUAUGAAUUCUGCAUUUUUUCAUUACGACUAGUUUCUUGAGACAUUUUUCCCGAACACACCUAACCCAGUCAGGUGCACUGAAGUGUCUUCCCUUUUUUCCCUGAAACCACCAGGAAUAGGGGUAAAUGGCAACACAGUUUAUCAAUAGAAAUAAUCAAUAGUAUCUUCGAACUGAAAUCUAGUUAAGCAUCAACAAUUUAUCAUGAAAUAAAUUAUCCAACUCAUCGAAUAUACGAAUACAUUAUAGGUC